UGUUGCACCAGAAGCAGGUAGCUUAACCUUCGGGAGGGCGCUUGCCACGGUGUGGCCGAUGACUGGGGUGAAGUCGUAACAAGGUAGCCGUAUCGGAAGGUGCGGCUGGAUCACCUCCUUUUGAGC
This 126-nucleotide ribosomal RNA is filed under the name Salmonella enterica subsp. enterica. RNAcentral describes it as "partial 16S ribosomal RNA". It matches the Rfam family "Bacterial small subunit ribosomal RNA", at positions 1413 to 1533 of the family's 1533-position model. Lineage: Bacteria; Pseudomonadati; Pseudomonadota; Gammaproteobacteria; Enterobacterales; Enterobacteriaceae. The record is from RNAcentral. RNAcentral also lists the same sequence under 1 other name.